UAAAAGAACUCAUUUUUAGUACCGCCUGCUCCAUGAACAUUUGAAUAGCCGCAGACCCCCUGUGCUAAGGUAGCAUAAUCACUUGCCUAAUAAUUAUAGGAUAGAAUGAAAGGUACCACACGUUUCCUUCUUUAUUAAUAAGACUAUUUUAACUUAAAAUUUAAGUAAAAAUACUUAAAUCAUUAGGGGGACGACAAGACCCUGUCGAACUUUACUUUUAGUUUAGCUGGGGCGGCAAGAAAAUUACACCUUUUCAUCUCCUACCAACAAACCUUAACAUAAGAUAAACAAGUUACCGCAGGGAUAACAGCAUAAUUUUUUUCCAAAGACCUUAUACAAAAAAAAGAUUGUGACCUCGAUGUUGAAUUAAAAUUCUUUUAGACGCAGAAUUCUAAAUAGAAAGUCUGUUCGACUUUUAAAAACUU
This 425-nucleotide ribosomal RNA is filed under the name Kwonkan sp. MYG088. Its description in RNAcentral is "partial 16S ribosomal RNA". It matches the Rfam family "Archaeal large subunit ribosomal RNA", at positions 1926 to 2666 of the family's 2987-position model. Lineage: Eukaryota; Metazoa; Arthropoda; Arachnida; Araneae; Anamidae. The record is from RNAcentral.